This 466-nucleotide ribosomal RNA is filed under the name uncultured Klebsiella sp. RNAcentral describes it as "bacterial SSU rRNA". It matches the Rfam family "Bacterial small subunit ribosomal RNA", at positions 338 to 795 of the family's 1533-position model. Lineage: Bacteria; Pseudomonadati; Pseudomonadota; Gammaproteobacteria; Enterobacterales; Enterobacteriaceae. The record is from RNAcentral.
CCUACGGGGGGCUGCAGUGGGGAAUAUUGCACAAUGGGCGCAAGCCUGAUGCAGCCAUGCCGCGUGUGUGAAGAAGGCCUUCGGGUUGUAAAGCACUUUCAGCGGGGAGGAAGGCGUUAAGGUUAAUAACCUUGGCGAUUGACGUUACCCGCAGAAGAAGCACCGGCUAACUCCGUGCCAGCAGCCGCGGUAAUACGGAGGGUGCAAGCGUUAAUCGGAAUUACUGGGCGUAAAGCGCACGCAGGCGGUCUGUCAAGUCGGAUGUGGAAAUCCCCGGGCUCAACCUGGGAACUGCAUUCGAAACUGGCAGGCUAGAGUCUUGUAGAGGGGGGUAGAAUUCCAGGUGUAGCGGUGAAAUGCGUAGAGAUCUGGAGGAAUACCGGUGGCGAAGGCGGCCCCCUGGACAAAGACUGACGCUCAGGUGCGAAAGCGUGGGGAGCAAACAGGAUUAGAUACCCGUGUAGUC